RNAcentral lists this ribosomal RNA (29 nucleotides) under Talaromyces albobiverticillius. Its description in RNAcentral is "partial 28S ribosomal RNA". The record is from RNAcentral. Lineage: Eukaryota; Fungi; Ascomycota; Eurotiomycetes; Eurotiales; Trichocomaceae.
AUCAGGUAGGAGUUACCCGCUGAACUUAA